RNAcentral lists this ribosomal RNA (421 nucleotides) under uncultured bacterium. RNAcentral describes it as "bacterial SSU rRNA". It matches the Rfam family "Bacterial small subunit ribosomal RNA", at positions 355 to 774 of the family's 1533-position model. The record is from RNAcentral.
UAAGGAAUAUUGGUCAAUGGACGCAAGUCUGAACCAGCCAUGCCGCGUGAAGGAUGAAGGUCCUCUGGAUUGUAAACUUCUUUUAUCUGGGACGAAAACGGGAUUUUUAUCUCAAUUGACGGUACCAGAGGAAUAAGCACCGGCUAACUCCGUGCCAGCAGCCGCGGUAAUACGGAGGGUGCGAGCGUUAUCCGGAUUUACUGGGUUUAAAGGGUGCGUAGGUGGGCUUAUAAGUCAGUGGUGAAAUCUCCGAGCUUAACUUGGAAACUGCCGUUGAUACUAUAGGUCUUGAAUUAUCUGGAGGUAAGCGGAAUAUGUCAUGUAGCGGUGAAAUGCUUAGAUAUGACAUAGAACAUCAAUUGCGAAGGCAGCUUACUACAUAUAAAUUGACGCUGAGGCACGAAAGCGUGGGGAUCAAACA